AAAGCGUGCGCAGGCGGUUAUACAAGACAGGCGUGAAAUCCCCGGGCUUAACCUGGGAAUGGCGCCUGUGACUGUAUAGCUAGAGUGUGUCAGAGGGGGGUAGAAUUCCACGUGUAGCAGUGAAAUGCGUAGAUAUGUGGAGGAAUACCAAUGGCGAAGGCAGCCCCCUGGGAUAACACUGACGCUCAUGCACGAAAGCGUGGGGAGCAAACAGGAUUAGAUACCCCAGU
Molecule: ribosomal RNA, 230 nt
Filed under: uncultured bacterium
Lineage: Bacteria
Description: partial 16S ribosomal RNA
Rfam family: Bacterial small subunit ribosomal RNA
Source: RNAcentral